This 647-nucleotide ribosomal RNA is filed under the name uncultured bacterium. RNAcentral's name for it is "bacterial SSU rRNA". It matches the Rfam family "Bacterial small subunit ribosomal RNA", at positions 45 to 713 of the family's 1533-position model. The record is from RNAcentral.
CGGAGAUUACAGGCGGAAGUUUUCGGAUGGAAGCUUGUAAACUUAGUGGCGGACGGGUGAGUAACACGUGAGCAACCUGCCUAUCAGAGGGGGAUAACGAUUGGAAACGAUCGCUAAUACCGCAUGACAUAGCGGAACCGCAUGGUUUUGUUAUCAAAGAUUUUAUCGCUGAUAGAUGGGCUCGCGUCCGAUUAGAUAGUUGGUGGGGUAACGGCCUACCAAGUCGACGAUCGGUAGCCGGACUGAGAGGUCGAACGGCCACAUUGGGACUGAGACACGGCCCAGACUCCUACGGGAGGCAGCAGUGGGAGAUAUUGCACAAUGGGGGAAACCCUGAUGCAGCGACGCCGCGUGAGGGAAGACGGUCCUCUGGAUUGUAAACCUCUGUCUUCGGGGACGAAACGAGACGGUACCCGAGGAGGAAGCCACGGCUAACUACGUGCCAGCAGCCGCGGUAAUACGUAGGUGGCAAGCGUUGUCCGGAAUUACUGGGUGUAAAGGGAGCGUAGGCGGGCAGGCAAGUCAGGCGUGAAAUAUAUCGGCUCAACCGGUAACGGCGCUUGAAACUGCAGGUCUUGAGUGAAGUAGAGGUUGGCGGAAUUCCUAGUGUAGCGGUGAAAUGCGUGGAUAUUAGGAGGAACACCAGU